Molecule: non-coding RNA, 930 nt
Filed under: Strabomantis biporcatus (Puerto Cabello robber frog)
Lineage: Eukaryota; Metazoa; Chordata; Amphibia; Anura; Strabomantidae
Description: 12S ribosomal RNA
Rfam family: Bacterial small subunit ribosomal RNA
Source: RNAcentral
CAUAAAGGCUUGAUCCUGGCCUUAAAAUCAAUUUUUACUUGACCUACACAUGCAAGCCUCCGCACUCCUGUGAGAACGCCUCCUUAUCUUAAAAGAAUAAGCAGAGCUGGCAUCAGGCACAAUAACUUACCCCAAGACGCCUAGUUUCACCACAUCUAUAAAGACAUGCAGCAGUGAUAAACAUUGAAUAUAAGCGCCAGCUUGAUUCAGUUAGAGUAAGCAGGGCCGGCAAACUUGGUGCCAGCCGCCGCGGUUAAACCACAGAGCCCAGAUUGAUUCUGCCUCCGGCGUAGAGCGUGGUUAAAGCAACAUUCACUUAGAGUUAAACUUAAACCAAACUGUAAAACUCUGGUUUAACGGAAGCCCAAACACGAAAGUUAUUCUAAUUAUACUUGACCCCACGAUAGUUAGGACACAAACUGGGAUUAGAUACCCCACUAUACCUAACUGUAAACCUUAACUUACACCAAAAUCGCCAGGGAACUACGAGCAAAGCUUAAAACCCAAAGGACUUGACGGUGCCCCAUACCCACCUAGAGGAGCCUGUCCUAUAAUCGACGAUCCCCGCUACACCCCACCACUUUUAGCCUCUCAGUCUGUGUACCUCCGUCUUCAGCUCACCGCAUGAACGACACCCAGUGAGCUCAAUGUUCUCACCCAUCAAUACGUCAGGUCAAGGUGCAGCAAAUAAAGUGGUAAGAGAUGGGCUACACUCUCUAAAAUAGAAUAUACGAAAGAUCAGCAUGAAAUCCUAUCUGAAGGUGGAUUUAGAAGUAAAAAGAAAUAGAAAAUUCUCUUUAACCAGGCAAUGGGGCGUGUACACACCGCCCGUCACCCUCUUCAAAGCACACAUUUAGUACUUAACCCCAUACGCACAAGAGAAGAGGUAAGUCGUAACAUGGUAAGUAUACCGGAAGGUGUACUUGGAAA